ACUCACCUUCCUUCCACACCUAUAAAUCCACCCAAACACUCUCUCAAGAACACGCACAACAACUUCUCCCCUCUAAUCUCUCUUGCUCAAUCCCCCUCCUUCACCAUGUCGACCUGCGACAACUGUGACUGCACCGAUAAGUCCCAGUGUGUGAAAAAGAGGAAUAACUACACAAUUGAUAUCAUCGAGACUGAGAAGAGCUACUUGGACGAGGUUGUGCACGGUGGUGUGGUAGCUGCUGAGGCUGAGCACGGCGGGCAGUGCAAGUGCGGCACGGCCUGCGCUUGUGUUGACUGCCAAUGCGGCAAAUGAUCAAACACCUUCAGGGCUGCUGCUUGUGCUUGAAAUAAAUAAUUAGAGUUGAGGUUUAUGAACUUCAGCGGUGUGUUACUUGUGUGCUAAUUAAGGUGUGAUUAUGAUUAUGAUCUGCAUAAUCUACCUCUGUAUUAGCUAAACCCUGUUAUCCAUCUGAAAUAUAUAGUUUGUUUUUAUA
Long non-coding RNA from Zingiber officinale, 493 nucleotides. RefSeq lists it as uncharacterized. The record is from RefSeq and is a predicted model, not a curated record. The transcript has 3 exons. NCBI's taxonomy places the organism in Eukaryota, Viridiplantae, Streptophyta, Magnoliopsida, Zingiberales, Zingiberaceae.